RNAcentral lists this ribosomal RNA (924 nucleotides) under Bacillus sp. (in: firmicutes). RNAcentral's name for it is "bacterial SSU rRNA". It matches the Rfam family "Bacterial small subunit ribosomal RNA", at positions 38 to 873 of the family's 1533-position model. The record is from RNAcentral. Lineage: Bacteria; Bacillati; Bacillota; Bacilli; Caryophanales; Bacillaceae.
AGAAUGCGCGUGCUAUACAUGCAGUCGAGCGGACAGAAGGGAGCUUGCUCCCGGAUGUUAGCGGCGGACGGGUGAGUAGCACGUGGGUAACCUGGCUGUAGGACUGGGAUAACUCCGGGAAACCGGAGCUAAUACCGGAUAGUUCCUUGAACCGGAUGGUUCACGGAUGAACGACGGUUUCGGCUGGCACUUACAGAUGGACCCGUGGCGCAUUAGCUAGUUGGUGAGGUAACGGCUCACCAAGGCGACGAUGCGUAGGCGACCUGAGAGGGUGAUCGCUCACACUGGGACUGAGACACGGCCCAAACUCCUACGGGAGGCAACAGUAGGGAAUCUUCCGCACUGGACGAAAGUCUGACGGAGCAACGCCACGGGAGUGAUGAAGGUUUUCGGAUCGUAAAGCUCUGUUGGUAGGGAAGAACAAGUGCAAGAGUAACUGCUUGCACCUUGACGGUACCUACCCAGAAAGCCACGGCUAACUACGUGCCAGCAGCCGCGGUAAUACGUAGGUGGCAAGCGUUGUCCGGAAUUAUUGGGCGUAAAGGGCUCGCAGGCGGUUUCUUAAGUCUGAUGUGAAAGCCCCCGGCUCAACCGGGGAGGGUCAUUGGAAACUGGGAAACUUGAGUGCAGAAGAGGAGAGUGGAAUUCCACGUGUAGCGGUGAAAUGCGUAGAGAUGUGGAGGAACACCAGUGGCGAAGGCGACUCUCUGGUCUGUAACUGACGCUGAGGAGCGAAAACGUGGGGAGCGAACAGGAUUAGAUACCCUGCGUAGUCCACGCCGUAAUACGAUGAGUGCUAAGUGUUGCUGGGGGUUUCCCGCCACCUUAGUGCAUGCAGCUAGACGCAUCUAAGCACUCCGCCUCGGGGAGGUACGGUACGUCAAGAUCGUGAUAACUCAAAGGGAACUUGACGAGGGGGGUCCG